GUGGGAGGGGGCUUGCCCCCGAUGACGUUGGGUCAGUCAACAUUCAUUUAUCUGACCCACCGCUAUCGGGGGCAAGCCCCCUCCCAC
This 87-nucleotide unclassified non-coding RNA is filed under the name Pseudomonas orientalis. The record is from RNAcentral. Lineage: Bacteria; Pseudomonadati; Pseudomonadota; Gammaproteobacteria; Pseudomonadales; Pseudomonadaceae.